Molecule: ribosomal RNA, 450 nt
Filed under: uncultured bacterium
Lineage: Bacteria
Description: partial 16S ribosomal RNA
Rfam family: Bacterial small subunit ribosomal RNA
Source: RNAcentral
GUGGGGAAUUUUGGACAAUGGGGGCAACCCUGAUCCAGCCAUCCCGCGUGUGCGAUGAAGGCCUUCGGGUUGUAAAGCACUUUUGGCAGGGAAGAAAAGUUUCGGGCUAAUACCCUGGAGCGAUGACGGUACCUGCAGAAUAAGCACCGGCUAACUACGUGCCAGCAGCCGCGGUAAUACGUAGGGUGCAAGCGUUAAUCGGAAUUACUGGGCGUAAAGCGUGCGCAGGCGGUUCGGAAAGAAAGAUGUGAAAUCCCAGGGCUUAACCUUGGAACUGCAUUUUUAACUGUCGAACUCGAGUAUGUCAGAGGGGGGUAGAAUUCCACGUGUAGCAGUGAAAUGCGUAGAGAUGUGGAGGAAUACCGAUGGCGAAGGCAGCCCCCUGGGAUAAUACUGACGCUCAUGCACGAAAGCGUGGGGAGCAAACAGGAUUAGAAACCCCGGUAGUCC